Molecule: ribosomal RNA, 364 nt
Filed under: uncultured Lelliottia sp.
Lineage: Bacteria; Pseudomonadati; Pseudomonadota; Gammaproteobacteria; Enterobacterales; Enterobacteriaceae
Description: bacterial SSU rRNA
Rfam family: Bacterial small subunit ribosomal RNA
Source: RNAcentral
GCUAGUAGGUGGGGUAAUGGCUCACCUAGGCGACGAUCCCUAGCUGGUCUGAGAGGAUGACCAGCCACACUGGAACUGAGACACGGUCCAGACUCCUACGGGAGGCAGCAGUGGGGAAUAUUGCACAAUGGGCGCAAGCCUGAUGCAGCCAUGCCGCGUGUAUGAAGAAGGCCUUCGGGUUGUAAAGUACUUUCAGCGAGGAGGAAGGCGUUGUGGUUAAUAACCUUAGUGAUUGACGUUACUCGCAGAAGAAGCACCGGCUAACUCCGUGCCAGCAGCCGCGGUAAUACGGAGGGUGCAAGCGUUAAUCGGAAUUACUGGGCGUAAAGCGCACGCAGGCGGUCUGUCAAGUCGGAUGUGAAAU